UAGGGAAUCUUCGGCAAUGGACGAAAGUCUGACCGAGCAACGCCGCGUGAGUGAAGAAGGUUUUCGGAUCGUAAAACUCUGUUGUUAGAGAAGAACAAGGAUGAGAGUAAAAUGUUCAUCCCUUGACGGUAUCUAACCAGAAAGCCACGGCUAACUACGUGCCAGCAGCCGCGGUAAUACGUAGGUGGCAAGCGUUGUCCGGAUUUAUUGGGCGUAAAGCGAGCGCAGGCGGUUUCUUAAGUCUGAUGUGAAAGCCCCCGGCUCAACCGGGGAGGGUCAUUGGAAACUGGGAGACUUGAGUGC
Molecule: ribosomal RNA, 303 nt
Filed under: uncultured bacterium
Lineage: Bacteria
Description: bacterial SSU rRNA
Rfam family: Bacterial small subunit ribosomal RNA
Source: RNAcentral